RNAcentral lists this microRNA precursor (63 nucleotides) under Eisenia fetida (common brandling worm). RNAcentral's name for it is "Efe-Mir-317-P6_pre stem-loop". The record is from RNAcentral. Lineage: Eukaryota; Metazoa; Annelida; Clitellata; Crassiclitellata; Lumbricidae.
AGAAUCACCUUUGUGAUCACACUGGCUCAGUUCGAGGCUGUGAACACAACAGGUGGUAUCUAG